Non-coding RNA from Mycena alexandri, 94 nucleotides. Lineage: Eukaryota; Fungi; Basidiomycota; Agaricomycetes; Agaricales; Mycenaceae. The record is from the annotation of a GenBank genome assembly.
GGCCUGAUGGUGUAGUGGUAGCACGUCCCUUUUAACUACGGAGCAACUCACAUAACUUCAUGGGAAGUCCCUUGUUCGAACCAAGGUCAGGCCA